UGUGGCGUGCAGUGCAGCUCGCCCCGGCAUGCAGCUCGGCCCCCGCCCCAGCGUGCAGGCACCCUCACGUGCAACAUCGAUAGGCUGGAGGUCCGACAUCUUCCUGGCCUCCCCUCUCCCCUGGCCAGAUCCGCCCGUUCUCGAGGCGUGACUCCGAGGCCGACGAGCUGCAUCGCCCAUUCCCUGCUCACUGAUUUGGUUGCCUGUGGCUGUGUGUCGUGCAUCGCCGUGCCUAUGACAAGAUGUGUGGCACCUGCGGGCGUCCAGUACGACCAACGUCGGCGUGCAGUGCGGCCAACGACAGCAUGCAGUAGGGCAUACGACGGCGUGCAGUUCGGUGACCCUCCCACGCGCCACAACAACCUCGAGUAGCAGCGCGGCUGGGAGUGGGCUGCGUUUGGCGCACCUGGACGAGCAGCUAGCUUAUUUGUGUUCUCGGGCAAUCUACGUCUCGGUGCAGUUAAGUUUCAGGUUGGCAACCCCAAUUCGUUUUGCCAGGCCAUUUGCAGUUCGGUGGCGGGCAGAGUUGUAGUGACCCCACGAGGGUUAUAUUGUAAUUUUUUAUCAGAGUUUGUUUCUGCAAAAUUGCGGUGAUCAUCUGCAGACGAGUUCAUCUAGGAGCAGUCAUAUGAACUCCCGUAGAGGUUCAUCUAGGAGAUGUACUUAUUAUAGUUUGUUUGAAAUUAUCAAGGACAAAAAAAAGAAUCAACUUGUUGCAAACCUUA
Triticum dicoccoides is the source of this 725-nucleotide long non-coding RNA. RefSeq lists it as uncharacterized. The transcript is spliced from 2 exons. The record is from RefSeq and is a predicted model, not a curated record. Lineage: Eukaryota; Viridiplantae; Streptophyta; Magnoliopsida; Poales; Poaceae.